RNAcentral lists this ribosomal RNA (481 nucleotides) under uncultured bacterium. RNAcentral's name for it is "partial 16S ribosomal RNA". It matches the Rfam family "Bacterial small subunit ribosomal RNA", at positions 28 to 507 of the family's 1533-position model. The record is from RNAcentral.
GAUGAACGCUGGCGGCGUGCUUAACACAUGCAAGUCGAACGAAGCAUUUGCGACAGAUUUUUUCGGAAUGAAGUUGCUUAUGACUGAGUGGCGGACGGGUGAGUAACGCGUGGGUAACCUGCCUUGUACUGGGGGAUAGCAGCUGGAAACGGCUGGUAAUACCGCAUAAGCGCACAAUGUUGCAUGACAUGGUGUGAAAAACUCCGGUGGUAUAAGAUGGACCCGCGUCUGAUUAGCUAGUUGGUGAGAUAACAGCCCACCAAGGCGACGAUCAGUAGCCGACCUGAGAGGGUGACCGGCCACAUUGGGACUGAGACACGGCCCAGACUCCUACGGGAGGCAGCAGUGGGGAAUAUUGCACAAUGGAGGAAACUCUGAUGCAGCGACGCCGCGUGAGUGAAGAAGUAAUUCGUUAUGUAAAGCUGUAUCAGCAGGGAAGAUAGUGACGGUACCUGACUAAGAAGCUCCGGCUAAAUACGUG